GACGAACGCUGGCGACGUGCCUAACACAUGCAAGUCGAGCGGAGUCAGUAAGAGGAAGUUUUCGGAUGGAAUCUUAUUGAUUUAGCGGCGGACGGGUGAGUAACGCGUGAGCGACCAACCUUGCACAGGGGGAUAACGGACCGAAAGGUUCACUAAUACCGCAUGAGACCACGGUGUUGCAUGACACAGGGGUCAAAGGAGCAAUCCGGUGCAAGACGGGCUCGCGUCCGAUUAGGUAGUUGGAGGGGUAACGGCCCACCAAGCCUAUGAUCGGUAGCCGACCUGAGAGGGUGAUCGGCCACAUUGGAACUGAGAUACGGUCCAAACUCCUACGGGAGGCAGCAGUGGGGAAUAUUGGGCAAUGGGGGAAACCCGUGACCCAGCAACGCCGCGUGAAGGAAGAAGGUUUUCGGAUUGUAAACUUCUGUCCUUGGUGAAGAGAAGAAGACGGUAGCCAAGGAGGAAGCCCCGGCUAACUACGUG
This 483-nucleotide ribosomal RNA is filed under the name uncultured bacterium. RNAcentral describes it as "bacterial SSU rRNA". It matches the Rfam family "Bacterial small subunit ribosomal RNA", at positions 28 to 507 of the family's 1533-position model. The record is from RNAcentral.